This 236-nucleotide long non-coding RNA is filed under the name Helianthus annuus (common sunflower). Its description in RNAcentral is "hypothetical non coding rna". Lineage: Eukaryota; Viridiplantae; Streptophyta; Magnoliopsida; Asterales; Asteraceae. The record is from RNAcentral.
AUGUCUCUUGAAGUCCAAUUCCAAUUCAUAUUUGUCUCUGAGAUACGACGAGAAGUAAUUGUUCGACGAAGAACUCGCAUUGCUAACAUCGUUAUAAAACGGCGACGGAGCGGCGGAUGACGACGGAGAUGACGCACUAGAACCGGCAGGAGCAGUUAACCCUACCUUCUCCUUGAAGUCCUUAAGCAAUGAUACCCAUUUCAUCGUUAUAGUUACCUCUCAUCCGCCGGAAAAUC